AGUGAACGCUGGCGGUAGGCCUAACACAUGCAAGUCGAACGGCAGCACAGUAAGAGCUUGCUCUUACGGGUGGCGAGUGGCGGACGGGUGAGGAAUACAUCGGAAUCUACUUUUUCGUGGGGGAUAACGUAGGGAAACUUACGCUAAUACCGCAUACGACCUACGGGUGAAAGCAGGGGAUCUUCGGACCUUGCGCGAUUGAAUGAGCCGAUGUCGGAUUAGCUAGUUGGCGGGGUAAAGGCCCACCAAGGCGACGAUCCGUAGCUGGUCUGAGAGGAUGAUCAGCCACACUGGAACUGAGACAAGGUCCAGACUACUACGGGAGGCAGCAGUGGGGAAUAUUGGACAAUGGGCGAAAGCCUGAUCCAGCCAUACCGCGUGGGUGAAGAAGGCCUUCGGGUUGUAAAGCCCUUUUGUUGGGAAAGAAAAGCAGCAGGUUAAUACCCCGCUGUUCUGACGGUACCCAAAGAAUAAGCACCGGCUAACUUCGUG
Molecule: ribosomal RNA, 492 nt
Filed under: uncultured bacterium
Lineage: Bacteria
Description: partial 16S ribosomal RNA
Rfam family: Bacterial small subunit ribosomal RNA
Source: RNAcentral